CGAUGCGUGAUUGGAAUGGAAUCGUUUGGCGGUGGUAGCUAGUAGCUAGGGUUGGAAUGCAUCCAGUUCUAGUGGAGCGCAGCGGUACUGCAUUUGUGCUUGCAUGCAUGCCUUUGUCGUUCAAUGAUUUUGAGGUAUUAGCAGAAAGCAAGCAGCCUUUUAAGGGGGCUCUGUCCACAUUGAGCCAUCCCCAAUUCCGCAUCGAUGAGUGUGUAUG
Molecule: long non-coding RNA, 217 nt
Filed under: Sorghum bicolor (sorghum)
Lineage: Eukaryota; Viridiplantae; Streptophyta; Magnoliopsida; Poales; Poaceae
Description: long non-coding RNA (SBIC_LNC012564)
Source: RNAcentral